Molecule: ribosomal RNA, 496 nt
Filed under: uncultured bacterium
Lineage: Bacteria
Description: partial 16S ribosomal RNA
Rfam family: Bacterial small subunit ribosomal RNA
Source: RNAcentral
GAUGAACGCUGGCGGCGUGCCUAAUACAUGCAAGUCGAGCGAACAGACGAGGAGCUUGCUCCUUUGACGUUAGCGGCGGACGGGUGAGUAACACGUAGGUAACCUACCUAUAAGACUGGGAUAACUUCGGGAAACCGGAGCUAAUACCGGAUAAUAUUUCGAACCGCAUGGUUCGAUAGUGAAAGAUGGCUUUGCUAUCACUUAUAGAUGGACCUGCGCCGUAUUAGCUAGUUGGUAAGGUAACGGCUUACCAAGGCAACGAUACGUAGCCGACCUGAGAGGGUGAUCGGCCACACUGGAACUGAGACACGGUCCAGACUCCUACGGGAGGCAGCAGUAGGGAAUCUUCCGAAAUGGGCGAAAGCCUGACGGAGCAACGCCGCGUGAGUGAUGAAGGUCUUCGGAUCGUAAAACUCUGUUAUUAGGGAAGAACAAACGUGUAAGUAACUGUGCACGUCUUGACGGUACCUAAUCAGAAAGCCACGGCUAACUACGU